CAACCAUCUCAUCCUCUGUUGUCCUCUUCUCCACUUGUCCUCAGUCUUUCCCAGCCUCAGGGUCUUUUCCAAUGAGUCCUGGAAAAACCGCGAGUGAGUUUGAAAGCUCCCCAUGGAGGAAGCCCUUUCUGAAGCAGCACUUUUGUGGUCCGCAUUCCCAUGAAGCUGCCCGAGAAGGAGGUGCCUUGGUGCCGAUCGCUGGAGGCUGGGUUGAGCCCGACGACGCGGUCCAUCCCGGUCCUUGUGAGCCUUUGUUCCUCUGCAGCGAGAGAUUGCUACAGCCUAGGCUUUGACUCACUCAAGCUCAUCUCCUUCCCCUGUGUCUCCAGGCUCUUUCUUCUUGGAGCCUCAGCCUUGACUGGGAGCCUGGAGUUCUGCUGACGACUGCGUCUUUAUGCCUUUGAGGCCCCAAGGCUGGGGAAUUUCCUCAUAUAUCAUGCUUGCUUGUUAAAUGAAUGGAUGGAUGGAUUAGUAGAUGAAUGUCCAAGUGGAUGGAUGAUGGAUCAGUGGGUGGAUGGUUGGGUGAAUGAAUAGAUAGAUGCGUGGUGAAUGGAUAUGUAGAUGGAUGGAUGGCAAAUGGACAGAUGGGUGGAUGGAUGGUUAGAUGGAUUUGUGGAUGGAUGUGUAAGUGAAUGGAUGAUGAAUGGAUGGAUGGAUGAAUGGUUGGAUAAAUAGAUGAAUGGAUGAUGAGUGGUUGGGUGGGUGGAUGGAUGGUUAGAUGGAUUUGUGGAUGGGUGCAUAAGUUAAUGGAUGAUGAAUGGAUACAUGGAUGAAUGAACAGAUGGAUAAAUAGAUGAAUGGAUGGUGAGUAGCUGGGUGGGUGGAUGGAUGGAUGGUUAGAUGCUUAGAUGGGUUUGUGGAUGGAUGCAUAAGUGAAUGGAUGAAUGAAUGGAUGGAUAAAUAGAUGAAUGGAUGGUGAGUAGCUGGGUGGGUGGAUGGAUGGUUAGAUGCUUAGAUGGGUUUGUGGAUGAAUGCAUAAGUGAGUGGAUGAAUGAAUGGAUGGAUAAAUAGAUGAAUGGAUGGUGAGUGGUUGGGUAGGUGGAUGGAUGGAUGGUUAGAGGCUUAGAUGGAUUUGUGGAUGGGUGCGUAAGUGAAUGGAUGAGGAAUGAAUGGAUAAAUAGAUGAGUGGAUGGCGAGUGGUUGGGUGUGUGGAUGGUGGCUCAUUCCAAUGGCACAAGCCUCUCGCCUCAUUUUCCAAAGUUUUCCUCUCUGAGGUUUUCACCAGGCUCCAUCCGCCUUGAACAGGCAGCUGGCCAUGUCACCUUGGCAGUCUGGGCCAUUCGUCUGCUUGAAUAGCUGUUCGGACCCAUGGAGUCUCCAGCUGGCCUUGUUGAUCCCUUGCUGUACUUCCAGAUUCACUAACAUUUGGGUCUCGGGGUCUAGCUUGGCCAACAGUACCCUGCCCAGCCCUCAUUAAUGAGGCCACAGUGCAACCAUCCACCACAGCAGCUCAAAUACUGACAUAUUUGGAGUCUUUGAUUUUCUGUUGUGCCUCCAUGGGUCCCAUGGGCAAGGGAAAACUUCAGUCCCCUAUAGCCAUGUCUGAUCUGAGCAACCAUAUCUAAUCUAAGCAACCACAUUUGAUCUGAGCAACCGUGUCUGAUCUGAGCAGC
Molecule: long non-coding RNA, 1613 nt
Organism: Bos taurus (domestic cattle)
Lineage: Eukaryota; Metazoa; Chordata; Mammalia; Artiodactyla; Bovidae
Source: Ensembl